Molecule: unclassified non-coding RNA, 240 nt
Filed under: soil metagenome
Description: partial contains 5.8S ribosomal RNA, internal transcribed spacer 2, and large subunit ribosomal RNA
Source: RNAcentral
AACGCACGAGACCUGCGGACCUGCGGAAGGAUCAUUACAUGGCGGAGAAGGUGGGCAACCUGGCCAACAUCCAGGUUGUGAUGCCUUCACGCUCUUCCACCCUUGUCUAUUUGCACCUUCUGUCGUUCCCUCGGCGGGUUUCGACCCGCCGGCGGCAACAUUGAAAAACCCUUUUUGCAGUUAGCAUUCAAUUCUUCUGAUCAAAUAUUAAAUCAUUACAACUUUUAACAAUGGAUCUCU